This 929-nucleotide long non-coding RNA is filed under the name Citrus sinensis (sweet orange). RNAcentral describes it as "long non-coding RNA (CSIN_LNC001484)". Lineage: Eukaryota; Viridiplantae; Streptophyta; Magnoliopsida; Sapindales; Rutaceae. The record is from RNAcentral.
GUAUCAGUGGCAAUGCCGGCGGCUAAUAAUCCUCCAAGCAGCACUACCAUUGUUCCAUCAACAACAACACAGCACAUCACAGUACCCCACUUAACAAACCUGACAAGCAGUGGUGCGAUUCCGUCAUUUCCAUCAGCAGCAGCAACAAACCCUACAAAUUUACCCCCACCACAAGCAACGACAAAUUAUCCAUCACAAAGCAACAUCCCAUCUUCAUUUCAUAACAUAUCACCAGACCUGCCAUCGAAUUCGACAUCCUCAUCGACAUCAUCGGACUUGGAACUGGAAGGGAGGAGGAACAAGAAGAGGAAAUGGAGGGACUUCUUUGAGAGGCUGAUGAAGCAAGUGGUGGACAAGCAAGAGGAGCUACAGAUGAAAUUCUUGGAAGCUAUAGAGAAGCGCGAACAUGAAAGAAUGGUUAGAGAAGAGGCUUGGAGAAUGCAAGAAAUUACAAGAAUCAAUAGAGAGAGAGAAAUUCUAGCCCAGGAAAGAUCAAUAGCAUCAGCCAAAGAUGCUGCUGUCAUGGCUUUCUUGCAAAAGUUAGCCGAACAGCAAAACCCCGGCAGCCAAGUUGUUAUAAGUACUAGUAAUAACAGUAUUCCUGCUCCACCAAUAAUAUUACCUCCAGUCCCCGCACCCGCACCAGUUCAAUCACAGCCGCCCCCACUGCAGCCAACUUCGACGCCAGCACCUGCACCGCCGCCGCCGCCGCAUCAGCAGCAGCCUCUUUUUAGUACAGAGAGAACGAAAACGGAUAACGGUGGAGAGAGAAACAAUUACACGGUAGGAACAAGUUCAUCAAGAUGGCCUAAAGUUGAGGUAGAAGCGCUGAUAAAGAUGAGGACAAGUCUUGACUCCAAGUAUCAGGAAAAUGGACCAAAAGGGCCGUUGUGGGAAGAAAUAUCAGCUGGGAUGAGGAGGCUAGGCUA